CUGCUGCCUCCCGUAGGAGUUUGGGCCGUGUCUCAGUCCCAAUGUGGCCGUCCACCCUCUCAGGCCGGCUACUGAUCGCUGCCUUGGUGGGCCGUUACCCCGCCAACUAGCUAAUCAGACGCGGAUCCAUCGUAUACCACCGGAGUUUUUCACACUGCCCCAUGCGGAGCCGUGCGCUUAUGCGGUAUUAGCACCUAUUUCUAAGUGUUAUCCCCCGGUAUACGGCAGGUUGCCCACGCGUUACUCACCCGUCCGCCACG
Molecule: ribosomal RNA, 260 nt
Filed under: uncultured bacterium
Lineage: Bacteria
Description: partial 16S ribosomal RNA
Source: RNAcentral